This 280-nucleotide long non-coding RNA is filed under the name Triticum aestivum (bread wheat). RNAcentral's name for it is "long non-coding RNA (TAES_LNC000504)". The record is from RNAcentral. Lineage: Eukaryota; Viridiplantae; Streptophyta; Magnoliopsida; Poales; Poaceae.
AAGAAAAUGGUGAUGGUGCUGAGGAUGAGGAGAUUGAGGAUGAUGAUGCUGAGGAUGGUGAGGAUUCUGUCAAGCCGCAAUCCUCAUCGAAGAGGAAGAGGUCUGGUGGGGAGGAUGAAGAUGAUGAUGACGGUGAUGAUGAUGGUGAUGAUGAUGAGAAGCCUCCAUCAAAGCGAUAGUCAAUUUGUUCUUGCUGAUCUGGUAUCUUUUCUGCUUGGGCCAAGAAGGAAAAUAAUCCUCUGGGAGAGGAUUGUUGGUAAAUGCUGUAGCUUUAGGACAU